Molecule: long non-coding RNA, 717 nt
Organism: Tripterygium wilfordii
Lineage: Eukaryota; Viridiplantae; Streptophyta; Magnoliopsida; Celastrales; Celastraceae
Exons: 2
Source: RefSeq, a predicted model, not a curated record
AAAAAAAGAAAACUUUUCUCCUCUCUCAUCUCUGUGGCGCCGCCCCACUCCACCACCUAUCUAUGCCGUCCGGUCAUGUCACCGGCCAUGAACUAUGUCAAACGAAACGCCGUAUCACUAGGGACUGGCCAAGCCGCCAACCGCCGCAAGCAGCCAGAGGUUGUUUGCCGGAAUAAGACAGUUGAAGCCGCGGUGGAACACAACAAAAACAGGGCCGAUCUGGCCACCUUAGACCUCGCCACCGUUCUCGGAUGCCACCUGCGUGUUCUGUGAUGUGAGGCUGACCUAACUCAACUAGCAGCUGGUCGGAAUAGAGAUCGGAGUAGGAAGAACCAGUUUUGACAUGUUGACCCGACCCAGUGUUACUUGUUAGCUGAUCCGGUUUGAGCGCAGAACGAAUGGCCUCGGGUAUACAGUAAUACCGAGCCUGUACCUACAAUUUGUGUUGAAUUGUUUCUAAAGAAGAAGAGUGGUGGGCCCAUGGCUUUAGAGUUGUUAGACCUUAAAUGGUGAAGGUGAGUUGGGCUCAAUUGACAAAUCAAAUUGGUUCUUUAAAUAUUGUACCAUUUAGUUACUAGGCCAUUAGGACCCAUGUGGGUCUCGGCUAUUUGAGGAAAUUGCAGGAAAUUUCUUUCCUUGGCCACGUGCCAAAAGGUCAAGUAAAUCAAUUUGUUUGAAGUUGACCCAUCAGUUGACUUUUGGUCAUUGGACCAUAAA